Molecule: long non-coding RNA, 904 nt
Filed under: Homo sapiens (human)
Lineage: Eukaryota; Metazoa; Chordata; Mammalia; Primates; Hominidae
Description: HSALNT0123798
Source: RNAcentral
CCGCACUGUGGCUGUCACCAAGAGCCAGUUCCUCAUCAAUGGGAAACCUUUCUAUUUCCACGGUGUCAACAAGCAUGAGGAUGCGGACAUCCGAGGGAAGGGCUUCGACUGGCCGCUGCUGGUGAAGGACUUCAACCUGCUUCGCUGGCUUGGUGCCAACGCUUUCCGUACCAGCCACUACCCCUAUGCAGAGGAAGUGAUGCAGAUGUGUGACCGCUAUGGGAUUGUGGUCAUCGAUGAGUGUCCCGGCGUGGGCCUGGCGCUGCCGCAGUUCUUCAACAACGUUUCUCUGCAUCACCACAUGCAGGUGAUGGAAGAAGUGGUGCGUAGGGACAAGAACCACCCCGCGGUCGUGAUGUGGUCUGUGGCCAACGAGCCUGCGUCCCACCUAGAAUCUGCUGGCUACUACUUGAAGCUCCGUAUGUGGAUGUGAUCUGUUUGAACAGCUACUACUCUUGGUAUCACGACUACGGGCACCUGGAGUUGAUUCAGCUGCAGCUGGCCACCCAGUUUGAGAACUGGUAUAAGAAGUAUCAGAAGCCCAUUAUUCAGAGCGAGUAUGGAGCAGAAACGAUUGCAGGGUUUCACCAGGAUCCACCUCUGAUGUUCACUGAAGAGUACCAGAAAAGUCUGCUAGAGCAGUACCAUCUGGGUCUGGAUCAAAAACGCAGAAAAUACGUGGUUGGAGAGCUCAUUUGGAAUUUUGCCGAUUUCAUGACUGAACAGUGUAAGUGGCAGUUUGGCUCAUGGGAUAACGUACCCGUCCUCAUUUUUUCAGGUUGCCUUUCCAAUUCUGGCCAUUUCAAUUGUAAGAAUAUUGGAAACAAAGUUGGGGAAGCUGGUUUAAUCCAUGUAGGUUGCGUUGAGAAUUUUCUAGGAAAAGUAAGUUGUGUUUAGGAAGUAG